This is a long non-coding RNA of Panthera uncia (snow leopard), 2383 nucleotides long. RefSeq lists it as uncharacterized. NCBI's taxonomy places the organism in Eukaryota, Metazoa, Chordata, Mammalia, Carnivora, Felidae. The record is from RefSeq and is a predicted model, not a curated record. The transcript has 3 exons.
AUCUGUCUGCACCCGGCGUGGCCCAGCUGGGACCCUCCUCACCUUAGAUGAUGGGUCCCUAGAUGAUGAGCUCCGGGGAGGAGCCUCUCAGGGUGACCCAGCGGCCCUACUCCUGCCAAAGACUCCCCAGAAGGCCGGACUGGUCCCCUCCCCAACUCCCCCCACCAAGCUGUGCAGGGUGGCCGGGCCAAGGCUUCCCUGGGAUGUGGGCUCAGCCCGGGCAGGGUGGGGCGGGCGGCUAAGGCCCAUCUUGCGGAUGAUGUGGCCGUUCCGGGGCCACCUGUGUGCAUGACACAAGGUCCUGGGGCAGGGCCAGGCCUGGCGCCGGGCUGUGUGGCAUUAGGUACAGCCAUGGGCGCUGACUCGGCGGCGGGGAGGGAAGGCGGCCACGAGAGGGAGGAGGAAGGCGGUGAGCUUCCAAAAUUAGCCACGACACGAAGCGGGGAUUAUCAUGGCCCCGCUCACUGACGGGUCUUUGGGGACAAGCGGCCAAACACGGCUGUCCUGGGCACAGACAAUGAACAGAGACGUUCCCCCUUUUCCUGAGGGCACCUGGGGACUGGGCAGAGCUAGCGCCCAGCCCUGCCCGGUGGCAAAGGCCACAGCCUUCCCUGCAGACGGGCCAAGGGGGUGCAGGGAGCCGGAGCGCGGGUGACCAGGCAACGAGGAGAGGGACGGACAGCACACCCCAUCUGGGGAAGAGGCCAAGGGGUGCCACGGCUCCAGAACAUCGCCCGCGGCAGGGCGGGCGGUGGCUCUUCCCCCCAACACAGGGCAGCCUGCCCUAGGGUCAGGGUGGGUCUUAAGGCCCCCGGAGUGAGUUGGUGGGUUUGGGCUGGUGUCCCCCGCCACCACCCUGAGCCCCCAGGCUCCGGGAACAGGAAAUGCCCCGAGGAGACGGCUGGAGGGCAAGGUCAGGCAGCCGGUCGCCAGGGUACGGGCUGGGGGGCGGCCGGCUGGGGACUGCGUUCGGCCACACACGAUAAGAGAGCUCUGACGAAACAACCAGCCCAGACCGCAGCCUCGUGCACGCCGGGUUCCUCCCCCCGACAGCCAACGGGAACAGGUGCAGGCCAGCCACGCGGUAACCACAGAGCCACGGGUGUGUGCCGCCCACGGAGGACACGGGGGCCGGCCAGGUGAUGCCACUCACCAGUGAGUGCUCGCAAUUAGGGUCGUUAACUCCUCCUUGUUCAGCAACAUUAAGUAACCAAGUAAAGACCCCACGACCGGACGGCGGCUUUGACCGGACCCCGGCGAGACGUCAGCCCCGUGUCUGGGACAGGCAGGAUGGCCGGCCGGCGUCUGGAGCGGGGACGACCCGCCCCUUCUCUGCAAGGGGCUGCGGUUGGUCUCCGUCCCCACUCAGAGCCCCUUGGGGGAGAAGUGGGAGCGGCGCCUCCCCCUGCAGUGGCCUCGGUCCCUCCCCUGUCCUUGAGGACACCCGUGGAGCCUCCCGGAGGCAGCGGUGACAUAAUCAGCCCGGGAGACAGCCAGAGUGACCUGGUGGCACUUGGAGGGGCAGCGAUGAGCUGUGCCCUGGAUCCAAUGACAAGUGUCCUUAGAAGAAGAGGAGAGACACAGACACAGAGGAGAAGCCACAUGAAAACGGAGGCGGAGACUGGAGCCCCCAGAAGCUGGAAGAGGCAGGAGGGAGCCUCCCCUGGAGCCCUUCGGGGUGAGGGCUUGGCCCUGCCCCCCUGGAUCUCUGACUUUGGGUCUCCAGACUGUGAGCGGCUCGACUUCUGUUCCCUGAGCCACCAGUUUGUGAUAAGGUGAGGCGAAUCAAAAGGAACACAUCUUCUGUGAUUUGUUCACACCAGUCAACUUUUCCAUCAAUAAAAAAGUCCAUUUUGCUCAUCCGAUGCCAACGGAAUGCGAUCUUUUCUAAGAUGUCAGAAUUCAGUGACUCAUUCACUUAUUUCAUCCCAUUUACGUCUGAGAGUCAAACGGCAUCUGGAGACAGAAUUCCUCAUUAGAGAACAAGUCAUUAAGAAGUCAGCAUGGAAACACAGACCCGAGCACUGCCUCACGUCGGUGGCAAAGCUUGGGGCCUGGCUCUCCUCCACGUCCAGGCAGCAGAGGCCUGGGGCUGGGCCGUCUGCACCCCGCUAAGUGGAGGUCCCUGAGCUCCAGCCCAUGGCUGCCCUUUGAGAACACAGGCCCAGCAAAAAACUUCUGAUUUUUCUCAAGACAAAAGCUUUUUACAUGCAUUGCCCGGCUCACACACGUCAGCAGGAAAUGACAGAUAUCCAGGGCAUGGGCCAAGUACGGCCACCGGGAGCCCCCCAGUGCCCUGGGGCCUCGAACUGCCCUGGAAGCUGCUCUGACCCCAGGGUGCCGGCCACUCCUCCGGGCCAGCUGGCCCCCCCAAACCUGCUUU